This 423-nucleotide ribosomal RNA is filed under the name uncultured bacterium. RNAcentral's name for it is "bacterial SSU rRNA". It matches the Rfam family "Bacterial small subunit ribosomal RNA", at positions 917 to 1344 of the family's 1533-position model. The record is from RNAcentral.
GGGCCCGCACAAGCGGUGGAGCAUGUGGUUUAAUUCGAUGCAACGCGAAGAACCUUACCAGGGCUUGACAUACUACAGAUCCCUUUGAGAAAAGGGAGUGCCUUCGGGAAUGUAGAUACAGGUGGUGCAUGGCUGUCGUCAGCUCGUGUCGUGAGAUGUUGGGUUAAGUCCCGCAACGAGCGCAACCCUUAUUUUUAGUUACCAAUUCGUUGGGUUCUCUAGAAAGACUGCCGGUGACAAACCGGAGGAAGGUGAGGAUGACGUCAAGUCAGCAUGCCCCUUAUGUCCUGGGCUACACACGUGCUACAAUGGUUAAGACAAAGAGUCGCAAGCUUGCAAGAGUUAGCUAAUCUCAUAAACUUAGCCUAAGUUCAGAUUGUAGGCUGCAACUCGCCUACAUGAAGUUGGAAUCGCUAGUAAUCG